AGAUUGAACGCUGGCGGCAUGCUUUACACAUGCAAGUCGAACGGUAACAGGCCGCAAGGUGCUGACGAGUGGCGAACGGGUGAGUAAUGCAUCGGAACGUGCCCAGUCGUGGGGGAUAACGCAGACGAAAGCUGUGCUAAUACCGCAUACGAUCUAUGGAUGGAAAGCGGGGGACCAAAGGUCCUACGCGUCGAUUGGAGCGGCCGAUGUCAGAUUAGCUAGUGGUGGGUAAGGCCACCAGGCACGAUCUGUAGCUAGGUCUGAGAGGACGACCAGCCACACU
Molecule: ribosomal RNA, 283 nt
Filed under: uncultured soil bacterium
Lineage: Bacteria
Description: partial 16S ribosomal RNA
Rfam family: Bacterial small subunit ribosomal RNA
Source: RNAcentral